GACGAACGCUGGCGGCGUGCUUAACACAUGCAAGUCGAACGGAAAGGCCCUGCUUUUGUGGGGUGCUCGAGUGGCGAACGGGUGAGUAACACGUGAGUAACCUGCCCUUGACUUUGGGAUAACUUCAUGAAACUGGGGCUAAUACCGGAUAGGAGCUCCUGCUGCAUGGUGGGGGUUGGAAAGUUUCGGCGGUUGGGGAUGGACUCGCGGCUUAUCAGCUUGUUGGUGGGGUAGUGUCUUACCAAGGCUUUGACGGGUAGCCGGCCUGGGAGGGUGACCGGACAAGCUAGGACUGAGAUGAGACACAGACUAGUACGGGACGCAGCAGUGGGGAAUAGUGCACAAUGGGAGGAAGCCUGAUGCAGCAAAGCCGUGUGCGGGAUGACGGCCUUCGGGUUGUAAACCGAUGUCGCCUGUGACGAGGCGUGAGUGACGGUAAUGGGUAAAGAAGCACCGGCUAACUACGUG
This 468-nucleotide ribosomal RNA is filed under the name uncultured bacterium. RNAcentral's name for it is "partial 16S ribosomal RNA". It matches the Rfam family "Bacterial small subunit ribosomal RNA", at positions 28 to 507 of the family's 1533-position model. The record is from RNAcentral.